This 858-nucleotide long non-coding RNA is filed under the name Junco hyemalis (dark-eyed junco). RNAcentral describes it as "lncRNA (ENSJHYG00000015192.1)". The record is from RNAcentral. Lineage: Eukaryota; Metazoa; Chordata; Aves; Passeriformes; Passerellidae.
AUGGCACCUGUGUCACCCGUGUCACCUGUGUGUCACCUGUGUGUCACCUGUGUGUCACCUGUGAGUCACCUGUGUGUCACCUGUGUGUCACCUGUGUCACCUGUGUGUCACCUGUGUGUCACCUGUGUGUCACCUGUGUGUCACCUGUGCCACCUGUGUCACCUGUGUGUCACCUGUGUGUCACCUGUGUGUCACCUGUGUCACCUGUGUCACCCCCCGUGUCCCCAGAGUCCCCCCGGUGCCACCUGUGCCAUCAGGGGGCGCCUGUCCCAGCAGAGCCACCUGGGGGACAGCCCUGUCACCUGUGUCACCAAGCCCUUGGGGACACCCCCAACACUGUCACCGCCCCCUCUUGGGGUGCCAGGCCUGAGGUGACACCGCUGUCACCAACCCUCGCUCAGGGUGGGGACACUGGGAAUGGGGCUCCUGUCCCUGUGUCACCCUGGGAGCAGUGACACCGAGGGGACAGGUGACACAGAGGGGACAGGUGACACAGGGACAGCGUGACACAGGGACAGGUGACACAGUGACAGGUGACACAGGGACAGUGACACAGGGACAGCGUGACACAGGGACAGCAUGACACAGAGAGGGACAGGUGACACAAGGGGACAGGUGGCACAGGGACAGGUGACACACAGGGACAGGUGACACUGAGGGGACAGGUGACACACAGGUGACACAGGGACAGGUGGCACAGGGACAGGUGGCACAGGGACAGGUGGUACAGGGACAGGUGACACAGGGACAGGUGACACAAGGGGGACAGGUGACACAGGGACAGUGACACAGUGACAGUGUGACACAGAAGGGACAGGUGACACUGAGGGGACAGGUGACACACAGGUGGCACAGGGA